CUGGGAUCCUGGGUGCCUCACCGGAUGGUCUGGGAUCCUGGGUGCCCCUCACCAGAUGGUCUGGGAUCCUGGGUGCCUCACCGGAUGGUCUGGGAUCCUGGGUGCCCCUCACCAAACGGUCUGGGAUCCUGGGUGCCUCACCGGAUGGUCUGGUGGUGGAGGUCAAGUGUUCCUAUGGUGCCUAAAAGGGACCUGACCAUUGAAGAGGAGGUCGAAUGAUUUCUAUAUCCAAGCGGAGGGAAGGUCUUACUGCCUCUGUGACGACCAUCCUUCCUGGCACCAGGUCCAAGUCCAAGGUCAGUUCCACAUCACCGGAAGGGACACCUGCUUCUUCGUUAUCGUGGACCACCACAGCCUCCCGUCCAGCGUGACGACCUCUGGCACACUCAUAUUGCUGGACUAGAGAAGUGUUUCAAGGACCACAUGCUCCCAAAGGCAGCACUGCAACAGUGAACUGUAGAUUUAUUGUAAAUAGGUUUUACAACAGUGAACUGUAGAUUUAUUGUAAAUAGGUUUUACAACAGUGAACUGUAGAUUUAUUGUAAAUAGGUUUUACAACAGUGAACUGUAGAUUUAUUGUAAAUAGGUCUUACAACAGUGAACUGUAGAUUUAUUGUAAAUAGGUUUUACAACAGUGAACUGUAGAUUUAUUGUAAAUAGGUUUUACAACAGUGAACUGUAGAUUUAUUGUAAAUGGUUUUACAACAGUGAACUGUAGAUUUAUUGUAAAUAGGUUUUACAACAGUGAACUGUAGAUUUAUUGUAAAUAGGUUUUACAACAGUGAACUGUAGAUUUAUUGUAAAUGGUUUUUAAACACUGUCACUGGAUCAUCAUUCUCGUCACGGGCCUCGUCCUCCUGUCAGUACCUGCUUUCAGGGAAGACGAUGGUCCAAAAAUAUUCCACAUAGUUCAUACACACACACGAGACUCCCAGAAUAAUGUAUAUUACACACACUAGACUCCCAGAAUAAUGUAUAUUACACACACUAGACUCCCAGAAUAAUGUAUAUUACACACACUAGACUCCCAGAAUAAUGUAUAUUACACACAUGAGACUCCCAGAAUAAUGUAUAUUACACACACUAGACUCCCAGAAUAAUGUAUAUUA
Oncorhynchus tshawytscha (Chinook salmon) is the source of this 1109-nucleotide long non-coding RNA. Lineage: Eukaryota; Metazoa; Chordata; Actinopteri; Salmoniformes; Salmonidae. The record is from Ensembl.